This is a non-coding RNA of Hydra vulgaris (swiftwater hydra), 172 nucleotides long. The record is from RefSeq and is a predicted model, not a curated record. Lineage: Eukaryota; Metazoa; Cnidaria; Hydrozoa; Anthoathecata; Hydridae.
UCUUUAGUAAGUGGUAUCCCAUAGCAAUCCUAUUGAUUCAGUGAAAGUAGAAUAUUUUGAUGUUUAUUAAAAAUUAUUACGAAAUCCAACUUGAAUUAAUCGGUCAAACUUCUAAAUAUAGCAUUUUUUUGAAACAGCAUUUUUUAAGCUGGUGUCUUUAUUAUUUUUGAAA